This 153-nucleotide microRNA precursor is filed under the name Prunus dulcis (almond). RNAcentral describes it as "sRNA ncRNA". The record is from RNAcentral. Lineage: Eukaryota; Viridiplantae; Streptophyta; Magnoliopsida; Rosales; Rosaceae.
GAUGAAAUUGAGAAGAGGAUGAGAAUGGAGAAUGGGAGGGAUGAGUAACAAAAGUGAAAACAAUUUCAAAUAUAUUUCAGUUUUUAGUUUUUGUUUUUACUUUUGUUACUCAUCCCUCACAUCCUCCCUUUUAGUCUCAUCUCCACUCUCAUU